This 611-nucleotide ribosomal RNA is filed under the name Nolanea sp. DLL9976. RNAcentral describes it as "partial large subunit ribosomal RNA". It matches the Rfam family "Eukaryotic large subunit ribosomal RNA", at positions 61 to 656 of the family's 3401-position model. The record is from RNAcentral. Lineage: Eukaryota; Fungi; Basidiomycota; Agaricomycetes; Agaricales; Entolomataceae.
GAAACUAACAAGGAUUCCCCUAGUAACUGCGAGUGAAGCGGGAAAAGCUCAAAUUUAAAAUCUGGUAGUCUUUGGCUGCCCGAGUUGUAAUCUAGAGAAGCGUUAUCCGUGCUGGACCGUGUACAAGUCUCCUGGAAUGGAGCGUCAUAGAGGGUGAGAAUCCCGUCUUUGACACGGACUACCAGUGCUUUGUGAUGCGCUCUCAAAGAGUCGAGUUGUUUGGGAAUGCAGCUCUAAAUGGGUGGUAAAUUCCAUCUAAAGCUAAAUAUUGGCGAGAGACCGAUAGCGAACAAGUACCGUGAGGGAAAGAUGAAAAGAACUUUGGAAAGAGAGUUAAACAGUACGUGAAAUUGUUGAAAGGGAAACGCUUGAAGUCAGUCGCGUUGAUUAGGGAUCAGCCUUGCUUUUGCUUGGUGUACUUCCUGGUUAACGGGUCAGCAUCAAUUUUGACCGAUGGAAAAAGGUCAGGGGAAUGUGGCAUCUUCGGAUGUGUUAUAGCCUCUGAUUGUAUACAUUGGUUGGGAUUGAGGAACUCAGCACGCCGCAAGGCCGGGUUUCGACCACGUUCGUGCUUAGGAUGCUGGCAUAAUGGCUUUAAUCGACCCGUCUUG